This 459-nucleotide ribosomal RNA is filed under the name uncultured bacterium. Its description in RNAcentral is "partial 16S ribosomal RNA". It matches the Rfam family "Bacterial small subunit ribosomal RNA", at positions 338 to 795 of the family's 1533-position model. The record is from RNAcentral.
CCUACGGGGGGCAGCAGUGAGGAAUAUUGGUCAAUGGACGAGAGUCUGAACCAGCCAAGUAGCGUGAAGGAUGACUGCCCUAUGGGUUGUAACCUUCUUUUAUAAAGGAAUAAAACGAGGCACGUGUGCCUUUCUGCAUGUACUUUAUGAAUAAGGAUCGGCUAACUCCGUGCCAGCAGCCGCGGUAAUACGGAGGAUGCGAGCGUUAUCCGGAUUUAUUGGGUUUAAAGGGUGCGCAGGCGGCCUGUUAAGUCAGCGGUAAAAGCCCGGGGCUCAACCCCGGCGAGCCGUUGAUACUGGCGGGCUGGAGUUGGCGAGAAGUACGCGGAAUGCGCGGUGUAGCGGUGAAAUGCAUAGAUAUCGCGCAGAACCCCGAUUGCGAAGGCAGCGUACCGGCUCCACACUGACGCUGAGGCACGAAAGCGUGGGUAUCGAACAGGAUUAGAUACCCCUGUAGUC